GAAGGAGUGAAGCAUUGCAUCAGGCCUAACUUAAUAACCCAAGAAUCUCUCUGUGCCUACUUGGUAAUUUCUUUCUUUCAGUGUAACAGAUGACAUUAAAGACAGAGAGGACUUUGUGACAUCAGAGCUUACAAGCCUUUGCUUGCUGUUGCACCAACGGAGCCCCAGGAGUGGCCUCCGUGGAUCAAUCAAAAUUAUUGUUUUCUAAUUAGUGGGCUAUAUUAUGACUACAAGAAGAAUCGAGUGAACCAUGAUUCCCAGCCAAUCAGCCUACGUCAACCAAAAAGACUUUUGCAAAAAGCUAUAUAGAUUUUAUGUAAAUUUGGUAUUUCCGAGCACCAAACUUUUAGCACUGACAUCUGCCUGAGAAGAAACUUCAUUUACAGCAGUGGCAGAGAUGAAGUUCACUGUGAACUACUUUUGAAGACCAUAUGCUUUAACAAGCUGAGGAAGAGGGGAAAAGAAGCUCUUUAAAAACAGCUCUUUCUUGGUCUCACUGUGGAUGAUGCUGCGUGACAACAUUGUGACAUCAUAGCUUACGAGCCUUUGCUCGCUGUUGCACCAACGGAGCCCCAGGGAGUGUAACAGCACCUUGGAAGUCUAUGGUGCUUCCCUUCCCUGGAAUGUAAGGCAUUUCACAGGCAUUUUCUCUCUAAACCUCACAACAUCUCUCUAAGCCACUGACCAGAUGAAGAGAUGAGGAGCUUCGGAAUUACAGAAGAAAAUACAGAAGACACAAGGUGCAACUACAAACAUGAACCAUAACGAUGUAACAAAUGAAAAAUCCUCACCUGUGUCACGUUUUAGCCUGGAUGUUGCAAAAGAGCACCAAUUAAAGAGAAGACUAAAAGUUGUGCCUAGAAGAUGAAAUAUUUCACAAUAAUUUAUCAAGGGGUAUUUUCUGCUUAUUUUACCUUCCCACCUCACGGGCGCCGAGCUGACCCGACACCCAGCUCAUUACCACAGCUGCUUUGCAUCUGAAUGACAAGAACUGUAGGAUGGACGCCAAAUGAGUUUUUACAAACCUGGACUUUCUUUUAAUGAACCAGACUAUGAGUACUUCUUAAAGACUCCAGGAGACAGCACCAACACCUCUGCCCACUUAUAAACUUAGGCAUAUGGAACCCGAGACAUUUCUGCUCCUUCUCUCCAUGGCUGGCCCAACUGCACACAUUUUCUACUGAAUGUGCAUCAGGGUUGCUUCCAAUUGAGUCCCUGCAUUUGGAAACCAUCUUUCUUGUCCAGAAAAGUACUUUUACAAACUGGCUCACUGCUAGUACAUGUCUCUUUGAAUUACCAUUUCAUUGUUUAAGAGCAGGUCCCCUCUAAGCAUGAGAGGGGGAGUUCUUUAUUCUUUUGCUAAAUUGGUCAGCCAAAGAACAGCUUUUGGUGAAUAAAAGAUAUUCUCAUUUUAGCAAAUGAAGGGAAGUUCUAUUCCCUGCCGUCCAAUGCAAAAUGUUGUUAUUCCUUAAAAAUGUUCUAAGUCCUGGAAACCGUUCAGAACACACCACAGAACCCAGUUCCUCCCCACAUUCAAAAUGUUUACAUUCUAAAAAUGACAAGAGAGGGAAGGUUGGGAAGGUAGCUAGAUCCGGAGCAGAUGGGUGCAUAUGCCCUCUCUCCUCACCAACUGCGGUCCUAUGGAUGGCUCAACAGUUAAUGUAGAUUUCUCUUCACGGAGUUUUAUAAGUAACUCUGCUGAGCACAGCCAAAUGACUUGAAAUGUGAGGAUGCACCGCCUCUUUGCUGUGCCCUGCUGCUCAAGUGUUCUCAGCUUUGACAAUUUAUCGUGCUGGAAAAUGUCUUCAGAAUGUCAGUCACUUUAGCUCCAUGCUUGCCAUUUGCAUGUGGCACACCUGCUGCUAUGGUGGCUCGUGCUCUAUUGUUAUUUUCCGUGGGGGCGGGGAAGGUAAAAUGUUCCAUUUGCAGACUUGGAGUUUAGUUCCAGCGAAGUUUAGAAGAAGUUUCUCGGAGUCCAGCUGUUCCUCCGAUAUCAAUGUGGCAUACGGAUGAGCACUGGCUGGGUAUCUGGAGAAAAAAGGUGGAAACAGAAGUCCUGUCCUUAAGGGAUUAGCGGUACAGAGGCAAACAUCAUCACAUCAACUCACCAAGAAGUAAGGCGGAGCUGUCCAUUUAACCCCAAAUAAUUAAAAAGACAGGUUAAUACUGGAAAACAAGAACAAGAAGGAAAACCAUAAACUGUGCCCUGUAUCCCUCUUUACCCUUUGUCGUUCAGUGAGCACACAAUAUUUUGUUUCAAUGAGUAUGCAGUUACUUGUUUAAUUAAAAAUAAUAAAAUAAUUUUAUGUAACAUUGUGUUGGCGGUAACCAGCUGUAAUAAACUGUCCGUGUUCAAAGUAGAUGAAUGAAUAAAGCAUUUGUUACUUGACAGGAGGGAAUCCAGAGGACAGUGUUUCCCUCCCUGAGGUCAUUCAGCUGUAUGCUAUGCGUCUCUGCAGCACCCUGAGGUGCUCACGAGGCAAAAUGGGAAAAGGAAAAGUUAUUUCUAACCUCGGGUGUUUUUCAUGCCUUUCAAAGUCUUCUAAUAUCAGGAAAGGUGAAACAUGUACUUUUGAUCCAGCCUCAACAGUUAUUACCAACCUGGCUUAUUCUUUCCCUAUGAUUUUGUUUUGAACUAGGAUCUUCAAGCGCACAUCAUGUUUGGUAGUCUUUAAGCCAGCUGUUUUAUCAUCAAAGUAAAGCCACAAGACUUUUAUCACAUGUCAAAUGCUAGCAGCUUUGUAGACUUUCUCAUGAAGAACUAUGUGCUCAAUUUUCCUUAACCAGCUAAAUGAAAAUAUUUCAGUCUAUGAUAGAGUGAAUAAAAAUGGUCCACAUAGGGUCAUAUGUUUGAGUGCUUUGUCCCUAAGUUAGCUUGGGAAGGAAUAGAGAUCCGGUCUUGUUGGAGGAGGUGUGUUAUGCUUUGAGGUUCCAAUGCCCAUGUAUAUCCCCACCUCCCUGUCUCCCUUUCCCUGUCUCUGUCUGCUUCCUGUUGUGGAUCAGGAUGUGAGCUCUCAGUUACUCCAGCAGUACUAUGCAUGCAUCCCGCUGUGCUUCCUGCCAAGAUGAUGAGGGGCUCAUCCUCUGAAAACAAUAAGCAAGCACCCAACUAAAUGUUUCUUUUUAAAACUAAGUUUCUUUACAUAUUGUGUCUUAUCAUAGCAAUAGGACAGUAACUAAGACACAGUUCGUGCAAUAUUUUUGUUUGUUAUAUUUCUUGAAACAUCUUUUAACCUAUGAAAAUCCCUUCUCAUUCAUAAUUGUUGAAGAAACUAGUUUUUAUUUUUUGAACGAAUUCAGAUGCCUUUGCACUGAAGAAGCAGGCCUAUCUCUAGAAAGUAAACAGUCAGAAUCUACGUGAGAUCAUGACUAUUAGCUUCUCAGUUUGUGACCACUAACCAGCUGACUUUAUUAAUAUAAACUUUCUUUGAUGGCACUCUGACCACUUUUUUUACAAUUUAUAUUAAACCUGAAAAUAGGAGAUUAAAUGUAAAUAAUGUAAAUGACAAUUAAAAAAUCUGUAUUUCUACAUUGUGUACAAGUCCAUUAUGACCUAUAUAUGACCUCAACAUGUCACUGCCCUCUGCCUCAAUGGCUUGUCAUGACGCUGUCCCCAGGACCCAUCUGUAUGUGUUAAAGAACUGUUGUACAAUAAAAAAAAAUAAUAAAAAAAAGAACUCUUGACACCAAAGUUUUUUUCAGUGUCGUAAAUUUCUUUGUGGUAAGUGUAUAAUUAUGAUGUAAACAUAGAAG
RNAcentral lists this small RNA (3753 nucleotides) under Rattus norvegicus (Norway rat). RNAcentral describes it as "uncharacterized LOC108349914". The record is from RNAcentral. Lineage: Eukaryota; Metazoa; Chordata; Mammalia; Rodentia; Muridae.